UUACUUGCUUUAGCAAUAUAUAAACUAAAACUGGAACAAUACAGCAAAAAUUAGCAUGGCCCCUGCACAAGGAUGACACUGAAAUUUGUAAAGCAUUCCAUAUUUUA
This is a small nuclear RNA of Gracilinanus agilis (Agile Gracile Mouse Opossum), 107 nucleotides long. The record is from RefSeq and is a predicted model, not a curated record. Lineage: Eukaryota; Metazoa; Chordata; Mammalia; Didelphimorphia; Didelphidae.